This 372-nucleotide long non-coding RNA is filed under the name Brassica napus (rape). RNAcentral describes it as "long non-coding RNA (BNAP_LNC006662)". Lineage: Eukaryota; Viridiplantae; Streptophyta; Magnoliopsida; Brassicales; Brassicaceae. The record is from RNAcentral.
CGGCGCUGGAGGAGGAGGUGGUGGAGGCAUAUGAGGUGCAGGAGGAGGAGGACUCCAAGAAACUGUCUGAGAUGUCUGAGAGUCCCGGAACUGCCUCGGAAGAUGAUGGACCGGAAGAAAAUGUCUCGACACCAUCAUGAAACAUCUGAGAGUAAGUACAGUUAGUUUUAUCAUUAAUUUUUAGGAUCUAUUUAAUUUUAAAAAAAAAUUACAGUUAGUUUUAUCAUUAAAAACAUAAUUUAAAAAUAUUGUUCCGAUACCUAACUAAUCACCUAAACUAAUUACCUAUACUAACCAAUUAAACUAAUUACCUAUACUAACCACUUAAACUAAUUACCUAUACUAACCACCUAAAACUAAACAAUUUUUUUU